RNAcentral lists this non-coding RNA (30 nucleotides) under Mus musculus (house mouse). Lineage: Eukaryota; Metazoa; Chordata; Mammalia; Rodentia; Muridae. The record is from RNAcentral.
UGAUUGCUUAUUUUUCGUUUCUUUAAUGAG